Cladorrhinum sp. PSN259 is the source of this 109-nucleotide non-coding RNA. The record is from the annotation of a GenBank genome assembly. Lineage: Eukaryota; Fungi; Ascomycota; Sordariomycetes; Sordariales; Podosporaceae.
GGGCGUGUGGCUCAGUUGGUAGAGCGCCCGCUUAGCAUAAAAUUUCUGUCAUGAAAAUAGAGAUUUCCUACUAUGCGGAAGGUCCCCGGUUCGAUUCCGGGCUCGUCCA